GAUGAACGCCAGUUACAGGCUUAACACAUGCAAGUCGAGGGGCAGCAUUUUAGUUUGCUUGCAAACUGAAGAUGGCGACCGGCGCACGGGUGAGUAACACGUAUCCAACCUGCCGAUAACUCCGGAAUAGCCUUUCGAAAGAAAGAUUAAUACCGGAUAGCAUACGAAUAUCGCAUGAUAUUUUUAUUAAAGAAUUUCGGUUAUCGAUGGGGAUGCGUUCCAUUAGUUUGUUGGCGGGGUAACGGCCCACCAAGACAACGAUGGAUAGGGGUUCUGAGAGGAAGGUCCCCCACAUUGGAACUGAGACACGGUCCAAACUCCUACGGGAGGCAGCAGUGAGGAAUAUUGGUCAAUGGGCGAGAGCCUGAACCAGCCAAGUAGCGUGAAGGAUGAAGGCUCUAUGGGUCGUAAACUUCUUUUAUAUGGGAAUAAAGUUUUCCACGUGUGGAAUUUUGUAUGUACCAUAUGAAUAAGGAUCGGCUAACUCCGUGCCAGCAGCCGCGGUAAUACGGAGGAUCCGAGCGUUAUCCGGAUUUAUUGGGUUUAAAGGGAGCGUAGGUGGAUUGUUAAGUCAGUUGUGAAAGUUUGCGGCUCAACCGUAAAAUUGCAGUUGAAACUGGCAGUCUUGAGUACAGUAGAGGUGGGCGGAAUUCGUGGUGUAGCGGUGAAAUGCUUAGAUAUCACGAAGAACUCCGAUUGCGAAGGCAGCUCACUAGACUGUCACUGACACUGAUGCUCGAAAGUGUGGGUAUCAAACAGGAUUAGAUACCCUGGUAGUCCACACAGUAAACGAUGAAUACUCGCUGUUUGCGAUAUACAGUAAGCGGCCAAGCGAAAGCAUUAAGUAUUCCACCUGGGGAGUACGCCGGCAACGGUGAAACUCAAAGGAAUUGACGGGGGCCCGCACAAGCGGAGGAACAUGUGGUUUAAUUCGAUGAUACGCGAGGAACCUUACCCGGGCUUAAAUUGCAACAGAAUAUAUUGGAAACAGUAUAGCCGUAAGGCUGUUGUGAAGGUGCUGCAUGGUUGUCGUCAGCUCGUGCCGUGAGGUGUCGGCUUAAGUGCCAUAACGAGCGCAACCCUUAUCUUUAGUUACUAACAGGUCAUGCUGAGGACUCUAGAGAGACUGCCGUCGUAAGAUGUGAGGAAGGUGGGGAUGACGUCAAAUCAGCACGGCCCUUACGUCCGGGGCUACACACGUGUUACAAUGGGGGGUACAGAAGGCAGCUACCUGGCGACAGGAUGCUAAUCCCAAAAACCUCUCUCAGUUCGGAUCGAAGUCUGCAACCCGACUUCGUGAAGCUGGAUUCGCUAGUAAUCGCGCAUCAGCCAUGGCGCGGUGAAUACGUUCCCGGGCCUUGUACACACCGCCCGUCAAGCCAUGAAAGCCGGGGGUACCUGAAGUACGUAACCGCAAGGAGCGUCCUAGGGUAAAACUGGUAAUUGGGGCUAAGA
Molecule: ribosomal RNA, 1455 nt
Filed under: uncultured organism
Description: SSU rRNA
Rfam family: Bacterial small subunit ribosomal RNA
Source: RNAcentral